GGGGGUGUACUGGUUUCGACGGGAUUCGUUGAAGCGGAUUGUAAGCACGUCGAGGUGGCCGUUGGCCUCGUAAAAAAGCGGCAAAGCUAUAAAUGCAAACAUUGACGAAGUAAGCGCAGACUACGCUCUCGCUGCUUAAUCAAAAAAUAGACUAGCCGUAAUACGCCGGUCGGCUGAUUGAGAGUUUGUCUGCGGCUCUCAGUGAGUUAAUUCAGUAGACUAGAGAGUAUGUUUUGUCUUGAACAGCUUUUCGAACCUUUAAAGACUCGUACUUAAAGAUUUUGUCUUAGAAAGCUUUAGGUAUUAAAUAAAAACUGAGACUAAACGUGUAGAAAGCAUUCGCAGAAGUUUCUCGGACGCGGGUUCGAUUCCCGCCACCUCCACCA
Molecule: transfer-messenger RNA, 386 nt
Filed under: bacterium
Lineage: Bacteria
Also listed under: 1 other name
Rfam family: transfer-messenger RNA
About the family: Bacterial tmRNA, also known as 10Sa RNA or SsrA, is named for its dual tRNA and mRNA-like properties. Its role is to liberate the mRNA from a stalled ribosome.
Source: RNAcentral